GACCUUCCUGUAACUCAGGGCCAGGUCUCUGCUCCUCUGUUCUGCUACUCCUGGCACUAGGAGAUGCGCCCCCUGCACCCUGUAAACAGGGCUGCACCCCCACCCCCUCUGACCUUGGGGCAGGAGGCCUCCUUUAGCCCUUUGGGCUCUGUGGCUUCCAUGGUGGGAGGCUGAUCUGAUGUCGUGGCCCGUAUGUCCCCAGACAUGGGGCAGCUUUGACCCCUGAUCAAGACCACCUGAGGCACCUGUCAGCUGGCAUUCAGGUCUCUGCAGGUUUUCUCUGGGCUUCAUGCCCUAGCUGCCGCCAGCUGUGUGGAGGGAGCACCACCUUGUAAGCAGGGUUUCUGGUGUUGGCGGUCACCGUUCACGGUGCCGCCCUAGCAGUUCUGUCCAGAGUCCCGGCUCGUUGCGCUCGGCUUCUGGCUGCCCGGGAUGUCAGCAGCCCAGGCUGGAGACAUCUGCCACGGUUCCAGGUCGUGCAGAAGACAGCAGAUGAGCAACCCGAGGAAGGAAGAAACCCUCGCCUGACCAGCAGGAGGGAAAGGCAAGGGAGUUUGGACACGGUGUCUGUCCUCUGCAAGUUACUUCCCCAGGUUGUCGACCUUGUGAUUAGCGCUUGUGGAAGGUGGGAGCACCGGGGCAGCCGCACACACAGGAUUUGUGUCUUAGGUCCUGCUGUUGUCAUACGCGGGUAACUGCUCGGGCGGUAGUCACCCUCAGUUAGUAUACUGGAGGCAUGUCGCAUCCCCCUUGUUCUUCAAGGACACCAAGGUCGAGCAUAUCAUGGGCAAUGGAGCUACAGUCUUGUAGCGGGGUGUGCAGUUCGUUGCCAGCCAUCUCCAGGUCUGUUUUGUGUACUCUUGCAGGUCCCUGAAGGGCAGCUGGAGAGGAAGGAACGGAAGCUGGAGAAGACAGCCCGGGAACAAGAAGUGUGGGUCGGGGUGGGCAGGAGGAAGGGGAAUGUUUAAUGUCUGCUCAGAGAAGGACAGAUGGAAGCUGUUGAGUGCAUCUACACUUUCGCACACCCUUUAGGAGCAAGCAGCCGCAGGCUUCAUGUUGCACCGUGCACUCAGUCUUGGGUUGGCCCCAAUUGUGUGCAGGGCGGUUGAGUUUUUGUACUAGUUGCGUGUCUUGAUAUGGAGCAGUCAAGGGUUUUGCAGGUUGUUUGGCUUUGCCUAGUUAUGCAGUGGAUCGGAAUAGAUGUGCGAUCAAAGGGUGAAGGGUUUUCUCGGUUGGGUUGUUGAGCGGUUCUCUGUGUUAGCGUAGAAGUGCAGGUUUGUGCUCGGUUCUGUUUGUGGCUUGGCUGUAGCUUGCUUAGGCUGUAGGUUGCGGGGCCAACUGGGGCUGUUUGUGGUGAACUUUGUUUGCGUCUGUCAAUUAAGACUCCACGGGUGUUUGAAAGUGUUUAAUCUCCAGCUCCACGGCCAGCGAGGAUGAAGAAGUUGUCUUGUGUCCAAAGGAUCCUAAAGGUAGUUGGCGCGGUCAACGUCAAACCGCAAGAAGCCAGCUGAGCUAAGAUGUGCACAAUUGAACAACAAACGGCCUAUGAAAUCUCACCUCGUAUCUCGUGCUUUUCUAUGCUGUGAAGAUUUGGCCAUGGGCCUUUCGUGUUGAGAGCUGGCUGAUGAUGAACAUUUUCAGUGUGUCUGCUGAUCCGACCUGUGUUCUUACUUGGGCAAUGCAAAUAUUUCCCCUUCUGUUUGACCAGUGGUGAAAGAAUGUGUAACACAUGGUUCCUAAUCUUCAGUUGACAAUUGUUAAUGCACUUUUUUUUUUUUUUUGAAGAAAUAAAAUAUCAGGUCCGUUGAAGUUGU
Long non-coding RNA from Alligator mississippiensis (American alligator), 1814 nucleotides. RefSeq lists it as uncharacterized. The transcript has 2 exons. NCBI's taxonomy places the organism in Eukaryota, Metazoa, Chordata, Crocodylia, Alligatoridae. The record is from RefSeq and is a predicted model, not a curated record.